ACUCCCACCAAGAUUUCAACUUGGAUCAGCGGCUUGAAAAACCACCGUUGUACUUCAACUAUAGGAGC
RNAcentral lists this transfer RNA (68 nucleotides) under Dicentrarchus punctatus. RNAcentral's name for it is "tRNA-Glu". Lineage: Eukaryota; Metazoa; Chordata; Actinopteri; Moronidae. The record is from RNAcentral.